RNAcentral lists this long non-coding RNA (620 nucleotides) under Equus caballus (horse). RNAcentral's name for it is "lncRNA (ENSECAG00000033551.2)". Lineage: Eukaryota; Metazoa; Chordata; Mammalia; Perissodactyla; Equidae. The record is from RNAcentral.
AAUGUUUGGUUCUUGCAUCUACAGCCAUAUAGCUUUUCUGCCUCUUUUGGGGAAGACUUCCUUGCUCUACUCAUUUAAAUGCUUCUGCCUUUAUGACUAUUUUAUUGCCAUACCUAUGGGGCUUCUUACUGUAUUUGCCUGUAACCGAAGGAGAUUUUAAAGGAAUUAAAUUUAUUCAGACUAAAUCUUCUGGGGCAUGCAAAGGCAUCUUAAACAAUUAGCAAUAAUUAAAAAGCAUCUAUUCAGACUGGAUAAAAGGUUGUAUUCCUCUCCCGGCUGGCACGGACGAUUGUGGUGCACGCUUCCUGCCAUCCUGCUCUGUGGUCCGCUGCUUGCGCUCACUUCCGUCCCUCACCUGACUCACGUCAGACAGACCGUCAAGAUGCAGCAGGGCUGCCGGGAGAACUUCCGGUCUGGUGCCUCAGCUGAGAAGACCAGAAUGCUGCGAAGAGACUGGCAUCUCUGUCUCUUCAGGAGGCCACUCCACUUGAUUACUAUGGCAGCAAAACCAACAUAGAGAGAAAGUGGACCGCCUGUAUCAGAAAUGUGGUGCCUCACAAUCAUGGGGUUCUCCUUGAAAACACCAGCACGCAUUUUCCUAUCUCACUUGGAAUACUCUU